UGGGGAAUAUUGCACAAUGGGGGAAACCCUGAUGCAGCAACGCCGCGUGAGUGAUGAAGUCCUUCGGGUUGUAAAGCUCUGUCUUUGGGGACGAUAAUGACGGUACCCAAGGAGGAAGCCACGGCUAACUACGUGCCAGCAGCCGCGGUAAUACGUAGGUGGCAAGCGUUGUCCGGAUUUACUGGGCGUAAAGGAUGCGUAGGCGGAUAUUUAAGUGAGAUGUGAAAUACCCGGGCUCAACUUGGGUGCUGCAUUUCAAACUGGAUAUCUAGAGUGCAGGAGAGGAAAGUGGAAUUCCUAGUGUAGAGGUGAAAUGCGUAGAGAUUAGGAAGAACAUCAGUGGCGAAGGAGGCUUUCUGGACUGUAACUGACGCUGAGGCAUGAAAGCGUGGGGAGCAAACAGG
Molecule: ribosomal RNA, 404 nt
Filed under: uncultured prokaryote
Also listed under: 1 other name
Description: bacterial SSU rRNA
Rfam family: Bacterial small subunit ribosomal RNA
Source: RNAcentral